UGACGCAGCAACGCCGCGUGAAGGAUGAAGGUGCUUUGCAUUGUAAACUUCUGUAGGGAGGGACGAAUCGCCGGUUUUGCCGGUAUUGACGGUACCUCCAAAGUAAGCACCGGCUAACUCCGUGCCAGCAGCCGCGGUAAUACGGAGGGUGCAAGCGUUGUCCGGAUUUACUGGGUGUAAAGGGCGUGUAGGCGGGAGGAUGUGUCGGAAGUGAAAUCGCGCGGCUUAACCGUGUCAAUUGCUUCCGAAACUGUUCUUCUUGAAUGCGGGAGAGGUAGAUGGAAUUCCAGGUGUAGCGGUGGAAUGCGUAGAUAUCUGGAAGAACACCAGUUGCGAAGGCGGUCUACUGGCCCGUGAUUGACGCUGAGGCGCGAAAGUGUGGGGAGCAAACAGGAUUAGAUACCCUGGUAGUCCACACCGUAAACUAUGGUCACUAGAUGUCGGGGGAUUCGACCCCUUCGGUAUCGACGCUAACGCAUUAAGUGACCCACCUGGGGAGUACGCUCGCAAGGGUG
Molecule: ribosomal RNA, 515 nt
Filed under: uncultured bacterium
Lineage: Bacteria
Description: bacterial SSU rRNA
Rfam family: Bacterial small subunit ribosomal RNA
Source: RNAcentral